RNAcentral lists this ribosomal RNA (465 nucleotides) under uncultured bacterium. RNAcentral's name for it is "partial 16S ribosomal RNA". It matches the Rfam family "Bacterial small subunit ribosomal RNA", at positions 28 to 507 of the family's 1533-position model. The record is from RNAcentral.
GACGAACGCUGGCGGCGUGCUUAACACAUGCAAGUCGAACGGAAAGGCCCCUUUGGGGGUACUCGAGUGGCGAACGGGUGAGUAACACGUGAGUAACCUGCCCUUGACUUCGGGAUAACUUCAGGAAACUGGGGCUAAUACCGGAUAGGAAUCCUUGCUGCAUGGUGGGGGUUGGAAAGCUUCGGCGGUUUUGGAUGGACUCGCGGCUUAUCAGCUUGUUGGUGGGGUAGUGGCUUACCAAGGCUUUGACGGGUAGCCGGCCUGAGAGGGCGACCGGCCACAUUGGGACUGAGAUACGGCCCAGACGCCUACGGGAGGCAGCAGGGGGGAAUAUUGCACAAUGGGCGGAAGCCGGAUGCAGCAACGCCGCGGGCGGGAGGACGGCCUUCGGGUUGGAAACCGCUUUCAGCAGGGGCGAAGCUUGUGGUGACGGUACCUGCAGAAGAAGCACCGGCUAACUACGUG